GACGAACGCUGGCGGCGUGCCUAAUACAUGCAAGUAGAACGCUGAAGGAGGAGCUUGCUUCUCUGGAUGAGUUGCGAACGGGUGAGUAACGCGUAGGUAACCUGCCUGGUAGCGGGGGAUAACUAUUGGAAACGAUAGCUAAUACCGCAUAAGAGUAGAUGUUGCAUGACAUUUGCUUAAAAGGUGCAAUUGCAUCACUACCAGAUGGACCUGCGUUGUAUUAGCUAGUUGGUGGGGUAACGGCUCACCAAGGCGACGAUACAUAUCCGACCUGAGAGGGUGAUAGGCCAAACUGGGACUGAGACACGGCCCAGACUCCUACGGGAGGCAGCAGGAGGGAAUCUUCGGAAAUGGACGGAAGUCUGACCGAGCAAAGCCGCGUGAGUGAAGAAGGUUUUCGGAUCGUAAAGCUCUGUUGUAAGAGAAGAACGAGGGUGAGAGUGGAAAGUUCACACUGUGACGGUAUCUUACCAGAAAGGGACGGCUAACUACGUG
RNAcentral lists this ribosomal RNA (495 nucleotides) under uncultured bacterium. RNAcentral's name for it is "partial 16S ribosomal RNA". It matches the Rfam family "Bacterial small subunit ribosomal RNA", at positions 28 to 507 of the family's 1533-position model. The record is from RNAcentral.